This 279-nucleotide ribosomal RNA is filed under the name uncultured bacterium. Its description in RNAcentral is "partial 16S ribosomal RNA". It matches the Rfam family "Bacterial small subunit ribosomal RNA", at positions 506 to 784 of the family's 1533-position model. The record is from RNAcentral.
UGCCAGCAGCCGCGGUAAUACGGGGGGGGCAAGUGUUAUUCGCAAUGACUGGGCGUAAAGCGUACGUAGGCUGUUUGUAUUAAGCUUUAGGCGAAAGGCUAGGGCCCAACCUUAGUGUGAUCUUUAGUAUAACAAACUUGAGUUUGAUAGAGGAUAAUAGAAUUCUCAGAGGAGGGGUACAAUCCAUGGACACUGAGAGGAAUACCGAAGGCGAAGGCAAUUGUCUGGAUCAAACUGACGCUAAAGUACGGAAGCGUAGGUAGCAAAUAGGAUUAGAUA